RNAcentral lists this unclassified non-coding RNA (215 nucleotides) under Clostridioides difficile. RNAcentral's name for it is "16S-23S ribosomal RNA intergenic spacer (ISR)". The record is from RNAcentral. Lineage: Bacteria; Bacillati; Bacillota; Clostridia; Peptostreptococcales; Peptostreptococcaceae.
ACCUACUGUUUAAUUUUGAGGGUUCGUUUUUACGAAUACUCAAAAUUAGCACUUUAAGCAACGGGAUUUAUCCGUUGGCGCUGUGCUUUAGCACUUUGAAAACUGCAUAUAUAUUUAGUGAUAUGACAUCUAAUUUGUAAUAUAUAAAGUUGAUAACUUUUUAAAAUUAUCGAAGUUGAUAGCUUCUAAUCUAUCAAACCUUUUUAACUGGUCAA